AUUGAACGCUGGCGGCAGGCCUAACACAUGCAAGUCGGACGGUAGCACAGAGAGCUUGCUCUCGGGUGACGAGUGGCGGACGGGUGAGUAAUGUCUGGGAAACUGCCCGCUGGAGGGGGAUAACUACUGGAAACGGUAGCUAAUACCGCAUAACGUCUUCGGACCAAAGUGGGGGACCUUCUGGCCUCACACCAUCGGAUGUGCCCAGAUGGGAUUAGCUAGUAGGUGGGGUAAUGGCUCACCUAGGCGACGAUCCCUAGCUGGUCUGAGAGGAUGACCGGCCACACUGGAACUGAGACACGGUCCAGACUCCUACGGGGGGCAGCAGUAGGGAGUAUUGAACAAUGGGCGCAAGCCUGAUGCAGCCAUGCCGCGUGUAUGAAGAAGGCAUUCGGGUUGUAAAGUACUUUCGGCGGGGAGGAAGGCGAUGAGGUUAAUAACCGCAUCGAUUGACGUUACCCGCAGAAGAAACACCGGCUAACUCCGUGCCAGCAGCCGCCGUAA
Molecule: ribosomal RNA, 504 nt
Filed under: uncultured bacterium
Lineage: Bacteria
Description: partial 16S ribosomal RNA
Rfam family: Bacterial small subunit ribosomal RNA
Source: RNAcentral